CCCUUAGAUGUUCUGGGCCGCACGCGUGCUACACUGAGUGGAUCAGCGGGUCAGGUUGCGCGAAAGCGUUUCCUAAUCUUUAAUCCGCUCGUGAUGGGGAUUGACGGUUGCAAUUUUCUGUCAUGAACGAGGAAUACCUUGUAAGCGCGGGUCAUCAUCCCGCGCUGAAUACGUCCCUGCCCUUUGUACACACCGCCCGUCGCUCCUACCGAUUGAGUGGUCCGGUGAGGCUUUGGGAUCUGAGCGGAAAGAGCGUUUCGCUGUUUCUGCUCGGAAAACUCAGUCGAACCUUAUCAUUUAGAGGAAGGAGAAGUCGUAACA
RNAcentral lists this ribosomal RNA (321 nucleotides) under uncultured eukaryote. RNAcentral's name for it is "partial 18S ribosomal RNA". It matches the Rfam family "Eukaryotic small subunit ribosomal RNA", at positions 1470 to 1796 of the family's 1831-position model. The record is from RNAcentral.